AUACUCAACAUUAAUGCAUACGGUGGAUGCCUAGGUCGAAAGUACCGAUGAAGGACGUGCUAAGCUGCGAUAAGCUUUGGGGAGCUGCUAAAAAGCUUUGAUCCAAAGAUUUCCGAAUAGAGUAAUCAGUCCGAUUUAUCGGAUACUCUUUACUGAAUUCAUAGGUAAAGAGAGGGUACGUGCCGAACUGAAACAUCUAAGUAAGCACAGGAAAAGAAAUCAAACGAGAUUCCCUAAGUAGCGGCGAGCGAAAAGGGAACAGCCUAAACCCCGAUUUAAUCGGGGUGUUGCGGGACCACAAUAUCUGACUGAUGAAGAUAGAAGAAAACUCUGGAAAGAGUUGCCAAAGAAGGUGACAGCCCUGUAAUCGAAAUUAACAUCAGCGGUAGUGGAUUCCCAAGUAACUCAGGACACGUGAAAUUCUGAGUGAAUCUGGGGCGACCAUGCUCUAAGGCUAAAUAUGCUUUCGGACCGAUAGUGAACUAGUACCGCAAGGGAAAGGUGAAAAGAAGAGGUUUAACCUCAGUGAAAUAGUACCUGAAACCGUAUGUUGACAAGCAGUGGAAGUCCGCCUACAUCUGUAAAGUUGUGGUGGACAACCGCGUGCCUAUUGAAGAAUGAACCGGUGAGUUAUCAUGUAUUCUUAGUUUAAGCCUCUUUGAGGUGGAAGCGCAGUGAAAGCGAGGGUUAAUUGCCCGAUAUAGAGAAUGCAUGUUAGACCCGAAACCGAGUGAGCUAUCCAUGUCCAGGGUGAACCCCGUCGAAAGACGGGAGGAGGCCCGAACCCGUAACUGUAGCAAUAGUUUGGGAAGAGAUGUGGUUAGAGGUGAUAUGCCAAACGAACUCGGAGAUAGCUGGUUCUCCCCGAAAUAUAUUUAGGUAUAGCCGUCCAAUGGUGUCUAGAGGUAGAGCACUGGCUCGAAUCCUCAGUCGCAAGACCGAGGUUCGAUUCAAACUCCGAAUGCUAGAAACACUAAAUUGGACGAGUCAGUCCGAUCCGGCUAAGCGGAGCGGGCCUGAGGGAAACAACCCAGAUCAACAGCUAAGGUCCCUAAUUGUAAGUUAAGUGUUAAAGGAAGUUAUAAUCCUUAGACAGCCAGGAAGUUGGCUUAGAAGCAGCCACCUUUUAAAGAUAGCGUAACAGCUCGCUGGUCUACUACGGAUUGUAGCGCCGACAAUGAACCGGGGCUAAACUUACAACCGAAGCUUUGGAUUCCGCCGUAAGGCGGAGUGGUAGGGGAGCGUCCUGAUUGGCAUGAAGCUGUGCUGUAAAGCAUGGUGGACUAAUCAGGAGUGAGAAUGCCGGUAUGAGUAGCGUAUUGACGUGAGAAACGUCAUCGCCGAAUGCCCAAGGUUUUCCAUGCAACGUUAAUCGGCGUGGAGUUAAUCGGUCCUAAGGUGAGGCCAAUAGGCGUAACCGAUGGAGAACAGGCUAAAAUUCCUGUAUUGAGAUUGUUCUGACAAGUUCUGAUGUAGGCCCCGCAAGGGGCACAUAUCAGGAGCUUUCAAGGGUGGACGAAGUAGGAUUUCUUGAUCCCGCAUUGCGGGGUUUAAAUAGCAAGUUAGUGGAAAUAGGCAAAACCGUUUCCAUAAGUCGGAACGUAACACUCAUUAAUUGUGUGAACGUUCCGUCUUAAAAAUGCAAGCUAUGAUGACGUAAGCAAGUAAAAUUCUGUUUCCAAGAAAAGACUCGUGAAGGAGAAUGAUUUUAACCGUACCGUAAACCGACACAGGUGGGCGAGUUGAGUAUACAAAGGCGAUCGGGAGAACUAUCCUUAAGGAACUCGGCAACAAAAGCUGGACGUAACUUUGGGAGAUGUCCUGCCAUGCACCAUACGGUGCGUGGCUACAACAAAUGACGCUAAGCGACUGUUUAACAAAAACACAGGUCCCUGCUAAAUCGAAAGAUGAUGUAUAGGGGCUGACACCUGCCCAGUGCCAGUAAUUUAAAAUUCGGGAUGACCCGCAAGGUGAGUCCUGGGUCUAAGAUCUGGUGAACGGCAGCAGUAACUAUAACUGUUCUAUGGUUUUGGGAAUUUCAAAGCCUUAGAUGGUGGUGUGUUUUUUAAUCUGACUAUAUGCUGGAAUAUCUGAGUAUCCUAUGCUACUAUGGUAAUAACUACACAUAGUUAUGCCAAGUAAAAAUGCAUUAGGUGCAGACAAUCAGCAGGAAAGGCUUAGGAUCUCAAGUUGGAUAGUUGGUUUUGUUGAUGGAGAAGGGUGCUUUUCAGUUUCUAUCUUUAAAAAUAGAACAACCAGGAGUGGAUUUCAGGUAAUGCCUGAAUUUGUGGUUACACAAGGCCAGAAAAGUCUAAACGUUUUAGAAACUAUUAAAGACUUUUUUGGAUGUGGAGCGAUCUAUGUAAAUAGGCGCUAUGAUAAUCACAAAGAAGAUAUCUACCGUUAUUGUGUUCGUGCUACAAAAGAUUUAAACGAAAAAAUAAUCCCUUUUUUCAAAGCAAACAAACUAUUAACUUAUAAGAAGAAUGAUUUUGAAACUUUCUGUAAAGCAGUGGAGAUGAAAUUAUUAAAUCUUCAUUUAACAGCAGAAGGUUUGCAAAAAUUUAGAGAUCUUAAGAAUCCUCAGAGACUAUACGUCAGACCCUAAAAGGGAAGAUAUAGUCCGGACUAUAUAGCGAUAUAUAGAUGUGACGAUUAGAUUGUCACAGUAACAUAAUCGAGCGAAGUUCCUUGUCUGGUGAGUUCAGACCCGCACGAAAGGUAGAACGACUUAGCGACUGUCUUGAGGAUAGACCCGGCGAAAUUGCAAUGGCUGUGAAGAUGCGGCCUUCCCAUACUUGGACAAAAAGACCCCGUGGAGCUUUACUGUAGCUUGGCCCUGAUUUAAAGCUUUGAUUGUAUAGCGUAGGAGGGACCCGCCAACAUUCUUUCGUAAGAAAGUUUGGGCGGGGACAAUGAAACACCUCUCUUUUGAAUCUUUAAAUCUCACCCCAACCCUUAUAAAAACAGGGAAGGGGACAAGGUCUGGCGGGCAGUUUGACUGGGGCGGUCCCCUCCAAAAGAGUAACGGAGGGGUACAAAGGUACACUUAGCGCGUAAGGAAAUCGCGCUUUAAGCGUAAAGGUAUAUAGUGUGCUUAAUAGCAAGACAUACAAGUCGAGCUAGUGCGAAAGCAGGUCUUAGUGAUCCCCUGUUUGCAAAUGGAUGCGGCAGGGCUUAUCGGAUAAAAGCUACCCCGGGGAUAACAGGCUAGUCUUGCCCUACAGUCCACAAGGACGGCAAGGUUCGGCACCUCAACUAAAAUCGGGGGUCGGUAGGAGUAAUCCUAUUAGAAUUGUUAUCAACAUUAGAAAGUCUUUUUGUAAAUAUUUACUAGCUAAAAUCGGUGAACUCCAAUCCGCUAUAUGCGGAGGAUAACACCGAGGGAACCAUGAAGUAGAUAAUCUCACUUCAUGGCCCGUAACGACUUAAUCUUUAGAGAGAUUGGAUUCAAGGUUCCAGAUAAUCUGGGUUGAAACUUGAAUGAGCAAAUGCUCUUCAACUUUAUAAAUAAACUUGAAUAAAAGGCUAGCUCCUAUAAAGUUAAUAGGAUGAAGGUAUAGUCUGAUCCUGUAAGAAAUUACAGAAAAUUCGACAGCGAUGUCGGCUCAUCGCAGCGCGGGGCUGAAGCAGGUCCCAAGCGUCUGGCUGUUCGCCAGUUAAAGCGGUACGCGAGCUGGGUUCAGAGCGUCGUAAGACAGCUCGGACUCUAUCCAGUAUGGGCGUUUUGAUUCUUGAGGGGAGUUGUCUCUAGUAAGCAAUUGCUACUGUCCGCCGAAAGGCGGACUGACAAAUUGGCUAAUAACGGUGAAGCCCUCUUGACUUUGGGUUUAGUUUGGUUCUAUGCUAAAUCUAUAACAAAAAAGUCAAUGGGUAAUACCGUGGGAAGACGAUUCAUGUGUCAUUCUGAGGCGAAGCCGAAGAAUCUCUGAACUAGUUUCAGAUGUAUCUAGAAUAAAUCUAGAGAUCCUUCACUACGUUCAGGAUGACAAAGAAUUUGUCCCCGUAACGACUGAUAUAUGAGGUACCAGAUAAUCUGGAAGUAAACUCAUAUUAUAUGCCAAUUCCGCAGCACAUUAUGGUGGCGGAAAAGAUAUAGUCUGAUUCUCUAAGAAAUUAGAGUUAACAAAAUGACGAGAGGACCGAGAUGAGGAAACCUCUAGUGUGCCUGUUGUUACUACAGUAGCAGCGCAGGGUAGCUACGUUUCUUUUUGAUAAGUGCUGAAAGCAUCUAAGCACGAAGCAGACCCCAAGAUGAGGAAUCUUUAAGAUCCCUAGAAGACUACUAGGUUGAUAGGUUGGCGGUGUAAGCACUGUAAGGUGUUUAGCCUACCAAUACUAAUGAUCAUAGUUGAGAUUUU
This 4361-nucleotide ribosomal RNA is filed under the name Candidatus Daviesbacteria bacterium. RNAcentral's name for it is "23S ribosomal RNA". It matches the Rfam family "Bacterial large subunit ribosomal RNA". Lineage: Bacteria; Candidatus Daviesiibacteriota. The record is from RNAcentral.